Molecule: ribosomal RNA, 860 nt
Filed under: uncultured bacterium
Lineage: Bacteria
Description: SSU rRNA
Rfam family: Bacterial small subunit ribosomal RNA
Source: RNAcentral
UACAGCAGGGAGCGAGUGCUAUCCGGAUUGACUGGCCUUAAAGACUGCGUAUUCCGAUUUAUAGGACACGAGUGAAAUGCCGCGACCUAAAUGAGGAAAUGCUUUUGAGAAUGAAAAACUUGACUAGGGUGAAGGUACACGGAAUGUCUCAUGUGGAGGUGAAGUGCUUACAUAUGAUGAAGAACACCGAUAGCUAAGGGAGUGCCCCAUAUCUUCCCUGAUGAUGAGGGACGAACGCGUGAUGAGCGAAGAGGAAUACAUACCCUGAUAGGCCACGCCCUAGACCAUGCUAACUGAACAUUUGACAGAUCGAUGCUGAGUGUCUGAGGAAAACCAUUAAGUUAGUCGCCUGUGGAGCACAAUCGCAAGAAUGAAACUCAAAGGAAUUGACGGGGGUCCCCACAAGCGGUGGAGUAUGGGGUUUAAUUCAAUGAUACGCGAGAAACCUUACCUGGGCUCGAACGCUAGAUGAAUAUUGAGGAAACUUGAUAGGCCCGCAAGGCACCUUUAGUGAGGUGCUGCAUGGCUGUCGUCAGCUCGUGCCGUGAGGUGUUGGGCUACAUCUCGCAAUGAUCGCAUCCCGUAUUGUCAGUCAGCAGCGAUUCUGUCGGGGACUCUGCAAAGACUGCCUCCUGUAAGGACGAGAGGAAGGACGGGAGGACGCCAAGUCAUCAUGUCCUUUACAUCCAGGGUUGCACUCCUACUCACGGCAUGUACUGAGGCAGCGAGCUCGCGAGAUACAAGACGAUAUCUCAGAAAGCAUGUCCCAGUUCGGAUUGGAGUCUGCAACUUGCAUCCAAGAAAUCCGAAUCCGUAGUAAUCGCGCACCAUCAUGGCGCGGUGAAUUCGCUCCCUGCCUU